CCUACGGGAGGCAGCAGUGGGGAAUAUUGCACAAUGGGGGAAACCCUGAUGCAGCGACGCCGCGUGAGUGAAGAAGUAUUUCGGUAUGUAAACCUCUAUCAACAGGGAAGAAAAUGACGGUGUCUGCCUUAGAAGCCCCGGCUAACUACGUGCCAGCAGCCGCGGUAAUACGUAGGGGGCAAGCGCUUUCCGGAUUUACUGGGUGUAAAGGGAGCGUAGACGGGAGGGCAAGUCUGAAGUGAAAUACCGGGGUGUAACCCCGGAACUGCUUUGGAAACAGUGCAGCUAGAGUGCAGGAGAGGUAAGUGGAAUUCCUUGUGUAGCGGUGAAAUGCGUAGAUAUUAGGAGGAACACCAGUGGCGAAGGCGGAUGACUGGACUGUAACUGACGGUGAGGCGCGAAAGCGUGGGGAGCAAACAGGAUUAGAUACCCUGGUAGUC
Molecule: ribosomal RNA, 440 nt
Filed under: uncultured bacterium
Lineage: Bacteria
Description: partial 16S ribosomal RNA
Rfam family: Bacterial small subunit ribosomal RNA
Source: RNAcentral